This 373-nucleotide ribosomal RNA is filed under the name uncultured organism. RNAcentral's name for it is "partial 16S ribosomal RNA". It matches the Rfam family "Bacterial small subunit ribosomal RNA", at positions 527 to 896 of the family's 1533-position model. The record is from RNAcentral.
GUAGGUGGCAAGCGUUGUCCGGAAUUAUUGGGCGUAAAGCGCGCGCGGGCGGUUCUUUAAGUCUGAUGUGAAAGCCCACGGCUCAACCGUGGAGGGUCAUUGGAAACUGGAGAACUUGAGUACAGAAGAGGAAAGCGGAAUUCCACGUGUAGCGGUGAAAUGCGUAGAGAUGUGGAGGAACACCAGUGGCGAAGGCGGCUUUCUGGUCUGUAACUGACGCUGAGGCGCGAAAGCGUGGGGAGCAAACAGGGAUUAGAUACCCUGGUAGUCCACGCCGUAAACGAUGAGUGCUAAGUGUUAGGGGGUUUCCGCCCCCUUAGUGCUGCAGCUAACGCAUUAAGCACUCCGCCUGGGGAGUACGGCCGCAAGGCUG